AUAGGUGUCUAUUGCGGUGAGGUCCACCUCUUUUCCAUUCCGAACAGAGAAGUUAAGCCCACCAGCGCAGAUGGUACUGCUACUGCGGGAGAGUAUGUCGACGCCACCU
Molecule: ribosomal RNA, 109 nt
Filed under: Flavobacteriales bacterium
Lineage: Bacteria; Pseudomonadati; Bacteroidota; Flavobacteriia; Flavobacteriales
Source: RNAcentral